AGAGUUUGAUCCUGGCUCAGAAUGAACGCUGGCGGCAUGGAUUAGGCAUGCAAGUCGAACGGAAACGAUGGUGCUUGCACCAGGCGUCGAGUGGCGAAAGGGUGAGUAACGCGUGAGCAACUUGCCCCAAGGUCGGGGAUAGCCCAUGGAAACGUGGAUUAAUACCGGAUGUGGCGGCCCUCUGCAGGGAGGGCUUGCUAAAGAUUUAUUGCCUUGGGAUGGGCUCGCGUCCGAUUAGUUUGUUGGUGAGGUAAUGGCUCACCAAGACGAUGACAGGUAGGUGGUCUGAGAGGACGAUCACCCACACUGGGACUGAGACACUGCCCAGACUCCUACGGGAGGCUGCAGUCGAGAAUCUUCCGCAAUGCGCGAAAGCGUGACGGAGCAAUGCCGCGUGAAGGAUGAAGGCCCUCGGGUCGUAAACUUCUGUCACUUGGGAUGAAGAUCUGACAGUACCAAGAGAGGAAGCCACGGCUAACUACGUGCCAGCAGCCGCGGUAAUACGUAGGUGGCGAGCGUUAUUCGGAUUUAUUGGGCGUAAAGGGUUCGUAGGGGGUUUGUUAAGUUUGAUGUGAAAGCCUAGGGCUCAACCCUGGAACUGCAUUGGAUACUGACGAACUAGAGGACUGGAGAGGAAAGUGGAAUUCCUGGUGUAGCGGUGGAAUGCGUAGAUAUCAGGAGGAACACCAAUAGCGAAGGCAGCUUUCUGGACAGUACCUGACCCUGAGGAACGAAAGCCGGGGGAGCAAACAGGAUUAGAUACCCUGGUAGUCCCGGCCGUAAACGUUGUGUACUCGGUGUGGGGAGGUUUGGUCCUCUCUGUGCCC
Molecule: ribosomal RNA, 827 nt
Filed under: uncultured bacterium
Lineage: Bacteria
Description: bacterial SSU rRNA
Rfam family: Bacterial small subunit ribosomal RNA
Source: RNAcentral